AACGAACGCUGGCGGCAGGCCUAACACAUGCAAGUCGAACGAGUAGAGGACCGGUGAGUAAUGUCGGGGAAACUGCCUGAUGGAGGGGCAUAACUACUGGAAACGGUAGUUAGUACCGGAUGCAAUCGGAUGCGUCCAGUUGGGAUUAGCUAGUUGGUGGGGUAACGUCACACCUAGGCGACGAUCCCUAGCUGGUCUGAGAGGAUGACCGGCCACACUGGGACUGAGACACGGUCCAAACUCCUACGGGAGGCAGCAGUGGGGAAUAUUGCACAAUGGGCGAAAGCCUGAUGCAGCCAUGCCGCGUGUGUGAAGAAGGCGUUCGGGUUGUAAAGUACUUUCGGCGGGGAGGCGUUACCCGCAGAGGAAGCACCGGCUAACUCCGUGCCAGCAGCCGCGGUAAUAC
Molecule: ribosomal RNA, 406 nt
Filed under: uncultured bacterium
Lineage: Bacteria
Description: partial 16S ribosomal RNA
Rfam family: Bacterial small subunit ribosomal RNA
Source: RNAcentral